UACGGAAGGCAGCAGUGGGGAAUAUUGCACAAUGGGCGCAAGCCUGAUGCAGCCAUGCCGCGUGUAUGAAGAAGGCCCUCGGGUUGUAAAGUACUUUCAGUCGUGAGGAAGGUGUUAAGGUUAAUAACCUUAGCAAUUGACGUUAGCGACAGAAGAAGCACCGGCUAACUCCGUGCCAGCAGCCGCGGUAAUACGGAGGGUGCGAGCGUUAAUCGGAAUUACUGGGCGUAAAGGGCACGCAGGCGGUUAAUUAAGUUGGAUGUGAAAUCCCCGGGCUUAACCUGGGAAUGGCAUUCAAGACUGGUUAGCUAGAGUCUUGUAGAGGGGGUAGAAUUCCAUGUGUAGCGGUGAAAUGCGUAGAGAUGUGGAGGAAUACCGGUGGCGAAGGCGGCCCCUGGACAAAGACUGACGCUCAUGUGCGAAAGCGUGGGGAGCAAACAGGGAUUAGAUACC
RNAcentral lists this ribosomal RNA (453 nucleotides) under uncultured bacterium. RNAcentral's name for it is "bacterial SSU rRNA". It matches the Rfam family "Bacterial small subunit ribosomal RNA", at positions 340 to 786 of the family's 1533-position model. The record is from RNAcentral.